RNAcentral lists this small RNA (96 nucleotides) under Marmota monax (woodchuck). The record is from RNAcentral. Lineage: Eukaryota; Metazoa; Chordata; Mammalia; Rodentia; Sciuridae.
GUCAGGUGUGGUGGCCCACAUCUGUAAUCCCAGCAACUUGGGAGGCUGAGGCAAAAGGAUUGCAAGCCUCAGCAACCUAGUGAGACACUGUCUCAA